RNAcentral lists this transfer RNA (77 nucleotides) under Brevundimonas sp. RNAcentral describes it as "tRNA-Met". It matches the Rfam family "tRNA". Rfam says of the family: Transfer RNA (tRNA) molecules are approximately 80 nucleotides in length. Their secondary structure includes four short double-helical elements and three loops (D, anti-codon, and T loops). Further hydrogen bonds mediate the characteristic L-shaped molecular structure. tRNAs have two regions of fundamental functional importance: the anti-codon, which is responsible for specific mRNA codon recognition, and the 3' end, to which the tRNAs corresponding amino acid is attached (by aminoacyl-tRNA synthetases). tRNAs cope with the degeneracy of the genetic code in two manners: having more than one tRNA (with a specific anti-codon) for a particular amino acid; and 'wobble' base-pairing, i.e. permitting non-standard base-pairing at the 3rd anti-codon position. Lineage: Bacteria; Pseudomonadati; Pseudomonadota; Alphaproteobacteria; Caulobacterales; Caulobacteraceae. The record is from RNAcentral. RNAcentral also lists the same sequence under 5 other names.
GGCUGGAUAGCUCAGCUGGUUAGAGCGGUGGAUUCAUAACCCACAGGUCGGCGGUUCAAGUCCGCCUCCAGCUACCA